UACGUAGGGUGCAAGCGUUGUCCGGAAUUAUUGGGCGUAAAGAGCUCGUAGGCGGUUUGUCGCGUCGAAUGUGAAAACCCGGGGCUCAACCCCGGGCCUGCAUUCGAUACGGGCAGACUAGAGUUCGGUAGGGGAGUCUGGAAUUCCUGGUGUAGCGGUGAAAUGCGCAGAUAUCAGGAGGAACACCGGUGGCGAAGGCGGAUCUCUGGGCCUUACCUGACGCUCAGGCGCGAAAGCUAGGGGAGCGAACAGG
RNAcentral lists this ribosomal RNA (253 nucleotides) under uncultured bacterium. RNAcentral's name for it is "partial 16S ribosomal RNA". It matches the Rfam family "Bacterial small subunit ribosomal RNA", at positions 524 to 776 of the family's 1533-position model. The record is from RNAcentral.